RNAcentral lists this ribosomal RNA (513 nucleotides) under uncultured bacterium. RNAcentral's name for it is "partial 16S ribosomal RNA". It matches the Rfam family "Bacterial small subunit ribosomal RNA", at positions 28 to 523 of the family's 1533-position model. The record is from RNAcentral.
GAUGAACGCUGGCGGCGUGCCUAAUACAUGCAAGUCGAACGCACAGCGAAAGGUGCUUGCACCUUUCAAGUGAGUGGCGAACGGGUGAGUAACACGUGGACAACCUGCCUCAAGGCUGGGGAUAACAUUUGGAAACAGAUGCUAAUACCGAAUAAAACUCAGUGUCGCAUGACACAAAGUUAAAAGGCGCUUUGGCGUCACCUAGAGAUGGAUCCGCGGUGCAUUAGUUAGUUGGUGGGGUAAAGGCCUACCAAGACAAUGAUGCAUAGCCGGGUUGAAGGACGGAUCGGCCACAUUGGGACUGAGACACGGCCCAAACUCCUACGGGAGGCUGCAGUAGGGAAUCUUCCACAAUGGGCGAAAGCCUGAUGGAGCAACGCCGCGUGUGUGAUGAAGGCUUUCGGGUCGUAAAGCACUGUUGUAUGGGAAGAACAGCUAGAAUAGGGAAUGAUUUUAGUUUGACGGUACCAUACCAGAAAGGGACGGCUAAAUACGUGCCAGCCGCCGCUGUAA